GCCAGACUCCUACGGGAGGCAGCAGUGGGGAAUAUUGGGCAAUGGGCGCAAGCCUGACCCAGCAACGCCGCGUGAAGGAAGAAGGCUUUCGGGUUGUAAACUUCUUUUGACAGGGAAGAGCAGAAGACGGUACCUGUCGAAUAAGCCACGGCUAACUACGUGCCAGCAGCCGCGGUAAUACGUAGGUGGCAAGCGUUGUCCGGAUUUACUGGGUGUAAAGGGCGUGUAGCCGGGCUGACAAGUCAGAUGUGAAAGCCGGGGGCUCAACCCCCGAACUGCAUUUGAAACUGUUGGUCUUGAGUAUCGGAGAGGCAGGCGGAAUUCCUAGUGUAGCGGUGAAAUGCGUAGAUAUUAGGAGGAACACCAGUGGCGAAGGCGGCCUGCUGGACGACAACUGACGGUGAGGCGCGAAAGCGUGGGGAGCAAACAGGAUUAGAUACCCCAGUACC
This 449-nucleotide ribosomal RNA is filed under the name uncultured bacterium. RNAcentral describes it as "bacterial SSU rRNA". It matches the Rfam family "Bacterial small subunit ribosomal RNA", at positions 330 to 794 of the family's 1533-position model. The record is from RNAcentral.